This 688-nucleotide ribosomal RNA is filed under the name Bacillus siamensis. RNAcentral describes it as "bacterial SSU rRNA". It matches the Rfam family "Bacterial small subunit ribosomal RNA", at positions 56 to 726 of the family's 1533-position model. Lineage: Bacteria; Bacillati; Bacillota; Bacilli; Caryophanales; Bacillaceae. The record is from RNAcentral.
UGCAAGUCGAGCGGACAGAUGGGAGCUUGCUCCCUGAUGUUAGCGGCGGACGGGUGAGUAACACGUGGGUAACCUGCCUGUAAGACUGGGAUAACUCCGGGAAACCGGGGCUAAUACCGGAUGGUUGUUUGAACCGCAUGGUUCAGACAUAAAAGGUGGCUUCGGCUACCACUUACAGAUGGACCCGCGGCGCAUUAGCUAGUUGGUGAGGUAACGGCUCACCAAGGCGACGAUGCGUAGCCGACCUGAGAGGGUGAUCGGCCACACUGGGACUGAGACACGGCCCAGACUCCUACGGGAGGCAGCAGUAGGGAAUCUUCCGCAAUGGACGAAAGUCUGACGGAGCAACGCCGCGUGAGUGAUGAAGGUUUUCGGAUCGUAAAGCUCUGUUGUUAGGGAAGAACAAGUGCCGUUCAAAUAGGGCGGCACCUUGACGGUACCUAACCAGAAAGCCACGGCUAACUACGUGCCAGCAGCCGCGGUAAUACGUAGGUGGCAAGCGUUGUCCGGAAUUAUUGGGCGUAAAGGGCUCGCAGGCGGUUUCUUAAGUCUGAUGUGAAAGCCCCCGGCUCAACCGGGGAGGGUCAUUGGAAACUGGGGAACUUGAGUGCAGAAGAGGAGAGUGGAAUUCCACGUGUAGCGGUGAAAUGCGUACAGAUGUGGAGGAACACCAGUGGCGAAGGCGAGU